This 497-nucleotide ribosomal RNA is filed under the name uncultured bacterium. RNAcentral describes it as "partial 16S ribosomal RNA". It matches the Rfam family "Bacterial small subunit ribosomal RNA", at positions 28 to 507 of the family's 1533-position model. The record is from RNAcentral.
GACGAACGCUGGCGGCGUGCCUAAUACAUGCAAGUUGAGCGCUGAAGGUUGGUACUUGUACCGACUGGAUGAGCAGCGAACGGGUGAGUAACGCGUGGGGAAUCUGCCUUUGAGCGGGGGACAACAUUUGGAAACGAAUGCUAAUACCGCAUAAAAACUUUAAACACAAGUUUUAAGUUUGAAAGAUGCAAUUGCAUCACUCAAAGAUGAUCCCGCGUUGUAUUAGCUAGUUGGUGAGGUAAAGGCUCACCAAGGCGAUGAUACAUAGCCGACCUGAGAGGGUGAUCGGCCACAUUGGGACUGAGACACGGCCCAAACUCCUACGGGAGGCAGCAGUAGGGAAUCUUCGGCAAUGGACGAAAGUCUGACCGAGCAACGCCGCGUGAGGGAAGAAGGUUGUCGGAUCGUAAAACUCUGUUGGUAGAGAAGAACGUUGGUGAGAGUGGAAAGCUCAUCAAGUGACGGUAACUACCCAGAAAGGGACGGCUAACUACGUG